This 5703-nucleotide long non-coding RNA is filed under the name Sus scrofa (pig). Its description in RNAcentral is "lncRNA (ENSSSCG00055028064.1)". The record is from RNAcentral. Lineage: Eukaryota; Metazoa; Chordata; Mammalia; Artiodactyla; Suidae.
UUUUUUUUUUUUGUCUUUUUGUAUUUUCUAGGGCCACUCCUGCGACAUAUGGAGGUUCCCAGGCUAGGGGUCGAAUCGGAGCUGUAGAUGCCGAUCUUCGCCAGAGCCACAGCAACGCAGGAUCCGAGCCAUGUCUGCAACCUACACCACAGCUCACGGCAAGGCAGGAUCCUUAACCCACUGAGCAAGGCCAGGGAUCGAACCCGCAACCUCAUGGUUCCAAGUCGGAUUCAUUAACCGCUGAGCCAUGAUGGCAACUCCCCAUUAAACAUUUUUAAAAGUCAAGUUUCUUCCCAUGGACUGUGAGGCUACCUUCCCCAGGUCCAGCUCCAUCUCUCUCAUCAUCCCUCCUGCCACACAGGCCUCUUCCCAGUGCCUCAUCCUCACCAGCUCAGUUCAAUCAAGAAUCCUGUACUUGCUGCUCCAGCUCCUCUUUCCUAAUAACCCCACCUCCUUCAGCAUCCAGGUGAGACAGCACUCCACCAGGCUGUCCCAAGCACCCUCAGUCAAAAUUAGGUCUCAGUGCAGCACCAGGUCCUUCCUGUCAGCCCCUCCUCCCAGGUGUGGUCUGACAUCCGUUUGUGUCAGUGUUUGAGUGAUUAUUCAGUGACCUGCACCCCCACGAGACCGUAAGCUCCAUGAGGGAGGCAGCCACUCUUACCUUUCCCGACCACCAAACCCUUAGCAGCAAGGACUAGUAGGCAGCUAACACAAUUCUUGAAUAAAUAAACAUACAUGUACAUACAUACAUAACAGUUCUCCUCCAAGACUCUGGACAAAAAUGCCAAGAAAACAAGUGAACUCACAUUCCCUGGGCAGGAAGAAGAACUGAGUGACAGCAACAGUGCCUCGAUACUGGGAAAGGUUACUGAGAGAAGCUGAGUGGACGCAAGGUAAAAACAACGUCAAGAAAGGAUCAUCCCUUCAAAACAGGACAGCAGGCCAAUGUGUCCGGUGACCUUGCAUGAGCCCUGCCAUUCCCACACAUUCCAUCCUGGCAGUCUGACUGUUCAGCAUCAUGGCCACAGCCCCAACCUAGUCUGGAAGUAUUUCUGCUCCAAUUGCAAGUUCAAUCAACAGCUUUUAUACCUACUCUUUGUGGUGCCUUUUAACUCCCAAGAAGAAUAUGAAUUCUUUUGUUUUCUAGGCAGCAAAACACAGAAAAUAACUAUAAUGAAGCACCAGCCUGGCAAAUGCUGGUUUCCCAGAUGUCAAGAGCCAGAAGGAGUUGGUUGCCCUGCCCAAAGCCUACCAGAGGAAAGGGCAAAAGCCCCCAUAAAAGGAACGAAUUUCAAAGAUCCUCUCUCUCACCUACACAUCAAAGGAGUUUCAUUGAAUUGUUGGCAGGAACUUCCCGGAAAAGGAGUUUAUCCCCGUUUGUUCAUCUCACAAAGGAAUUGUGUGAAUCUUAUUUGACCCCUGUUUUUCCAAUCUAGGGUAUGCAUUUAGCUAGCUUGGAAAAUGUUUUAGGGCUUACAUAGAAAUUUGUAAAAUGUCAGCGUGAAAAUUUUAAUUGAGUUAUUAGCAAUAUCUCUUCUUUGAAUGACCUUUUAGUACUCCUUAUAACAUAUCACCUCCUUUUACUACCUUCUGGCUGACAGUUUCUAAUAUAUUCCUUCUUCUUAGAUGAUAUCAUCUGUCCUUGGGUGGAAUUAACUAAAGCACUCUACAUUCAGAAGCUGACAUUAAUCCAUAGCCCCAGAUUUGUAACAGCUGCUGGUAUACACACUGUUUCCAUACACUGGGUUUUCACAAUGACUCGAAGAAAUGCAUACUACUCAUUGGACACCAAUGACAUGCAAACAAAGGAACCAGACUGACAAACAGCAAUGACUUUAAAAAGAAAUUUUAAUUGGCUUAAAAAUAUCUAUUGCACAUAUCUAAGGGGCUAUCGCUAGCUUCAUGGAAUUUUCACCUUUCUCUGAGGAAUCACAUGUGGAGAAGCAGCUAACCAAAAUAAGAAUUAUAAGGAUGAAUGGCAAAUAACCUGUUUAUUCACAUAACUUUCUGAUACUCAAUAAGGGAAACAGAAAAAAAAAAAAUACAGUCCCAUGUUCUCUGUAACCCAGACAUUUUGCAUCAUUCCCAGAAAUGGAAAAAGUAAAUCAACAUGGCAUGUGGAUACCAAAAGGCACAUUCAGAGCUGAGAAUCACCAAACAGGGGAAAGAUAAAUAAAACCCCUCUCCCCAAAAUCCCCAACUCCCGUGGUUUCUCAUAACAACCUCAAGGCAUCCAAACCCCACGCCCUGAUGUGAAAAUGGCCAAUGAAGGGAUGGGGGGGCUACAAGUCUCCUGUGUGUGCUCCAGGUCUCCUGCCCUGGACUCUACAUCCUGCUGGAAACAGGCUCUUCCACAUCAAUGCAGCAGCAGCAGGGACACCCAUAGGGACCCCAACAGCAUUUCCUUCAGCACAAAGGCGUUACGCAGAAUGUGAGGCAGUAAUGACCAUCACGAAUGCCAGACUGCUGGUGCAGGUCCCAGGCUGAAGCAACUGAUUAUUAAGGUGUGGCUAUGCUUGCUGUGUGGUGGGAACCCGGCAGCAGAGAGAAAGGGUUUCCAAGGAUAAAGGAAUGGGCAGGCAGGUCUACGAGAAGCCAAAUGCUUAGGCUUUACUCACUCAGAUGCCAGGUGAGUGUCCCCUUUCCUUGUGCCUCACCCCUGUGGCCCCCCACUCUGGACACAAUGAUUCUGUGAGAUAAUGCCAACCCACUCAUGCUACCUGCGAUGACCCAUGUGAUGAGAUGGCUGCUGUCCACUCUGGACACAGUGACCCUGUGAGAAAAUGCCAACCCGCUCAUGCCAUCUGCUAUGACCCACAUGACAAGACAGCCGCUACCAUUGCAUCAGGUUGCUGUGAAGAGUUGGUGAGAAGGUCACACCUCUGCAGACUGGGGAGAGCAGUCAUUCCUGUUACUAGUCACUUGGGGAACAGGUGUGUCUCAAAAUGAGAAGCAAUGUCCAAGAGGACUGGCCUAGGUAAGUGGGAGAGAAAUACUGCCUUGGCCUGGAUCCAGAAGGCCCAGUGUCUAGAACAAUGCUCCUCAUGCUAUGAAUGAAGGAAAGCACCCACCACUAGGGGCUGUUAGGGUUCAUGUUAGGGACCACUGAGCAUCAAAUACAGGAAAAUUGUACGAUGUGGAUCAUCAGCCCCUCCCCUCCAAGAGAAUCCCACCAAUUGUGAAAGGUUCUAAGUUUUGCUUUUACUGAAUAAGGCAGUAUUUCCGUAUACUAUCUCCACAUAUUCACAAUACCCAUCCUAUUACCCUGUAGUUUGCCUGUUGGACUAAUCUCAUCUAAACACAGGUCAUGGGGUCCAAUUACUCUCCAAGUUAUAUAUUUCAUGGACUCAUUUACCUACCAAAGUUAAUGUUCAGUGAGCAUGAGCCCAACAUUGCAUUAGGUACAGGAAGUCUAAGUAUAAAGAUGAUGGAGUCCACACACCCUCCAGUAGCACUCACAAUAACUAGCAAACAGCCUGGAGAUAGAACCUUACCUGAAGGGGGUAACUCCAUUGGUGGGAAUUUGGGGGAUUAUGUCACCCCUGGAGAGGGAAGACUUUUAGUUUGCAGUGAUGCUCUGGAGGAUGCUGAAAUCACAACCAAAAGCAGAUGACUUCUCUGCCCCAGCAUGAUGCCAGCCUCCUAGAUAAGACUCCAUGUUACAGGAAGAGAUGCAUGAGAGCUGGAACAAGUCAGUUUCCUUCAUGGAGGAAAGAGGAUGCUAAACCAGUAAGUAAUGAGUGCCAUCCGUCCUGGCACUGCAUAAUGGAAGGAUAAGAUUGUGCUCAAGAAUCUGAACCUGAAAGGUCAGACAGAUAUAGGUUCUGGUUGCAACUCUACUGCCUGGGCAAACCACUUACCCUAGCCAAGCCUCAGGUUUGCUCACCCAUAGGAGAGGUAACAUUCCUAGACCCUCCUAUGCUUGCUGCAGAGCAUAGGUUCUGAAGUGUGGCCAUCAGCAUCAGGAUCAUCAGGGAACUUGUUAGAAAUGCCCAUUUUCAGGGUCCAUCUCAAGUCUCCCGAAUGGGAAAUGCUGGGAGCGCAAAGCACAGUUGAUGCUGAUACUUUCAAGUUUGAAAAGUAUGGAUGUAGAAUUUAAAAGGCUGAUGUUAUUAGACACUUUGCAAAGUGUUAAUCGUGUAGGAAGCCCAUUAACAUCUUGGUUGUGUCUUGAGGCCCCGGAAAGUCACAUAGGAAAGGACUUGAAGGGAAGGAGCUAUAUUUUUGCCAGAGGUCAGAACCAGGGGGAAACUUCACAUGCCCUAGCAGCCUGCAUCACUACCCCCGGGUGACUAGCCAAAUGCAGGUGUCUGGGCCACAUAGGCUCAUGAAUAUAAAUUCAAAGGCACUGGACCUGAGAAUCUUCAUGCUCUUAUAUAGACAUCUUCAAAGUAAGUGUUCUCUGUUAUUUGUGGGGGGGGGGUAUUGUUUUUUGAUUUGUUUUGGUGAUUGCUUGCUUGUGUACUAACAUGCUCAUUUGGGCUCCCAGCUGUCUGUCUGUCUCCCAAUCCCUCCCUCCCUCGUUCCCCUUCUCUCUAUCCCCACAUACUAGCUUCCAUAUUGCUGCCCCUUUAUCUAGCCUUCUCUCUCUUCUAGGACAGUCUUCCAAGUUACUCUUUGGGGUAAUAGUUCCAAAAUAUAAAUGUAAGCAUUUCAUUUCCCAUUUAAAAGUGAAAACAAACAAAAAGCAACCUCAUUGCCCCCCCCCUCCAAGGGAAGUUUUAUAGGACAGAGUUCCAAGUCAUUCACCUGCCUACACAAGACCCUCCCCAGGCUGACUCCAGCCUCUGCUAAACCCACUUUUUUUCAAGCAUCAUAUCACCCCCAAGCUCCAACUGCUGUUCCACAAUCGGUGUUUCUUUUGCUCUGGCAAGAAAGACCUGCUAUUUCUCCCUAAGAGGAGACUCCCACCCUUCUCCAAACUCCUCUGUCACUGAGUCAACCACUGACGUGUUUAUUAUCAUCUUUGCUAAACCAGCAGCUCCAAGAAGGAACAGACGUGUCUACCUAUCAUCAACACCUUGAAACAUUUCACCAAAAUUAGCAUGAAGCAAUCUAGAAAUGUAGGAGCAGCCCUCUUCCUCACUCUCCAUGAAGCCAACUUGCUGGGGCAACCAGCACCAUUCCAUUCCUAAAAUACAUGAUCUGUAAAGUGAAUCCUGGCAGCUACAACAUACACACCGACAUUGACCAGUAAGACAUUGUCCAAUGCGACUGGUAUAUGGUCUAGUAAUUGAUACCAGCUUUCAAGAGCUUCUAGGUAGAUGGAGAUCUGAUACUGAAAAAUUACUCAAGGUUCUAUUCCCUGCCUACCUGCAUAGGUACACACAGCUUUGGCACACAGACAGCCUAGUGCCCAGGGAGCUAUAUUAAAAGAAAAGAUGAAAGCCAAAACCCAAGUUGAGUAGUUCUGCUUCUUUCCAUUCAUCCCAGUGAGCAGAGGACCUAAACUUCCAUCAUUUAUCCAUUGACAUUACUAUACAUUUUUAUAUAUUUUAUAGCUCUCAGCUGACUGGGUGGUUUUGGUCAUCUGACAGUACCAUUAAAAUUUAUGCCAACAGAGUUUCCGCUGUGGUACAGUGGGUCAAGGAUCCAGCAUUGCCACAGCAAUGGUAUAGGUUGUAGCUGAGGCCUGGAUUUGAUCCCUGGCCUGGGAACUUCCCUAUAUUGCUGGUGUGGCAAAAAAAAAAAAAAAAAAAAAAA